This 74-nucleotide transfer RNA is filed under the name Apaloderma vittatum (bar-tailed trogon). It matches the Rfam family "tRNA". Rfam says of the family: Transfer RNA (tRNA) molecules are approximately 80 nucleotides in length. Their secondary structure includes four short double-helical elements and three loops (D, anti-codon, and T loops). Further hydrogen bonds mediate the characteristic L-shaped molecular structure. tRNAs have two regions of fundamental functional importance: the anti-codon, which is responsible for specific mRNA codon recognition, and the 3' end, to which the tRNAs corresponding amino acid is attached (by aminoacyl-tRNA synthetases). tRNAs cope with the degeneracy of the genetic code in two manners: having more than one tRNA (with a specific anti-codon) for a particular amino acid; and 'wobble' base-pairing, i.e. permitting non-standard base-pairing at the 3rd anti-codon position. Lineage: Eukaryota; Metazoa; Chordata; Aves; Trogoniformes; Trogonidae. The record is from Rfam by way of RNAcentral.
GGCCGGUUAGCUCAGUUGAUUAGAGCGUGGUGCUCAUAACACAAAGGUCGUGGGUUCGAUCCCCGUUCAGUCCC